Molecule: non-coding RNA, 68 nt
Organism: Rattus norvegicus (Norway rat)
Lineage: Eukaryota; Metazoa; Chordata; Mammalia; Rodentia; Muridae
Source: Rfam
GGGGAUUUAGCUCAGUGGUAGAGCGCUUGCCUAGCAAGCGCAGGCUCUGGGUUCAGUUCCCAGCUCCG